This is a long non-coding RNA of Lynx canadensis (Canada lynx), 586 nucleotides long. RefSeq lists it as uncharacterized. NCBI's taxonomy places the organism in Eukaryota, Metazoa, Chordata, Mammalia, Carnivora, Felidae. The record is from RefSeq and is a predicted model, not a curated record. The transcript has 3 exons.
GCCAAUCAGUAGUCAAGGUUUCGCAGUCCAGAAAUGCCUGGAAAGCAGCCCUUUGUUGAGCGAUUGCCACGAUACGGUCACCCUGGAAUGACGAUACGCUAAGUUAUAUACAUGAAAUGCUCUGGACUAAGAAUGACAGCGCGGAGGCAAUUAGGAAAAACUGCGAAAGCAAGACAUUUCUCCCCAGGCGACACCGAACUGCUGCACCGGAAGCUACAGCGGUGCCGUUCCCUGUGCUCAGCUGCGCCUACCACCCACAGGCCCCUGAGCUCUCCCGGGAGUCACGGCCGUGGCCACAGUGAGGCCAAACCAAGUUCAAGACAGGCCAGUUCCCCAACCAACUCUUUGGCACAGGGCUGGGCAAGGGCAGCAGAGCAAGUGGACCACGGAUUCUGGAACUGGGUGCUGUCCUAGAAGUUCCCUGUCUUGAUUCUGUGCCACCCCUGAGUAUACCGAAAAUUUUCUGCUGAAACGUCUUUCAGAUGGACUUGGAAGCAUCCUUUGUUCCCAGGAGAUAUUAGGAUUAUCCUCUUCCCACAUGACCAGAAUUCAAAACAUAUGCAAUUUAAAAAUGUCCAUUACUGCU